This is a long non-coding RNA of Tupaia belangeri chinensis (Chinese tree shrew), 370 nucleotides long. RefSeq lists it as uncharacterized. NCBI's taxonomy places the organism in Eukaryota, Metazoa, Chordata, Mammalia, Scandentia, Tupaiidae. The record is from RefSeq and is a predicted model, not a curated record. The transcript has 3 exons.
GUGCUGAGGAAGAAAAGCUCAUCUAGAGCCAAAUACAUACCAGAAUCCUUGUAGGACCCAAAGAUAGUUGUCAGAUGACGCAGGUAAAAGGCAUAGGAAAGGUGUGGAAUUGAUCGCAGUGCACAGCCAGACCUUAGUACAAAAACCUCCACAAUAAGGAGCUGCCUACAAGGGAGCGAGUACAUGAACUGCCUGCCCACACUCACAGCCAUGUCAGACAGUCCCUGGAAAGCUAUUCCUCCCUGUCCGUGAAGCAGGACUGAGCUCAAGCUGUUUCUCUCGCUGUUCCAAGGCUGAAAUUAUUGCAUAUUACAUCACCGUUUGGCAGGAAUGCAAUACAUCUUUGUGUCUCCUUAUGAAACACCACCAU